UACGUAGGCAGCAAGCGUUGUUCGGAGUUACUGGGCGUAAAGGGCGCGUAGGCGGCCCUGUAAGUAUGGUGUGAAAUCUCCCGGCUUAACUGGGAGGGUGCGCUAUAGACUGCGGGGCUCGAGUGUGGGAGAGGAAAGUGGAAUUCCUGGUGUAGCGGUGAAAUGCGUAGAUAUCAGGAGGAACACCGGUGGUGUAAACGGCUUUCUGGACCAUAACUGACGCUGAGGCACGAAAGCGUGGGUAGCAAACAGG
Molecule: ribosomal RNA, 253 nt
Filed under: uncultured bacterium
Lineage: Bacteria
Description: partial 16S ribosomal RNA
Rfam family: Bacterial small subunit ribosomal RNA
Source: RNAcentral